GGAAAAAGAUAUUUACUAAAAGCAAAAUAAGGAAAAACAAACACACACAUCUGGCGUGUGUGUGUGUGUCGCCCCAAGCAGGAGAAAAAGAGGAGAAACCCUAAAAUCCUUGAAGUUGCAAAAUUGAGAAGGGAAAUUGAAGCUAAUCAUAUGCAUGAAUCUGAAUGUACAACCAUUUAAGCCUACUAAUCAAGUGGCAUAGGGAUCAUGUGGAAAUGGACUCAAGAACGGAAGGUUAACGGGUCAAGCGGAGGCGAGGAAGCAAGCAUGAACACUAACGCUCGAGGUUGCGUGGAUUUAGCAUCAUUAUGAAGGAUAGAAAGAUUGAAGAUCGAGUCAAGAGCAAAGGAUUGUACGGGAAAGAUCGGUCACAUAGUUUAGCAAAUGUAGGUCCGAAGUAUUAAUAUAAUGGAACGUGGUAAAUCCUUUUUAAUGAAUGUAUGACAUUUGAUAUUCGAACUUUCCUGUAAGUACUAUGUCUAUUAAAGAACGAAAUUUUUGGGU
Molecule: long non-coding RNA, 504 nt
Filed under: Helianthus annuus (common sunflower)
Lineage: Eukaryota; Viridiplantae; Streptophyta; Magnoliopsida; Asterales; Asteraceae
Description: sRNA HanXRQr2_Chr04g0170061
Source: RNAcentral